Molecule: long non-coding RNA, 682 nt
Filed under: Homo sapiens (human)
Lineage: Eukaryota; Metazoa; Chordata; Mammalia; Primates; Hominidae
Description: HSALNT0075786
Source: RNAcentral
GGUUACCUGAAGCCAGGAGUUCGAGAUCAAUCUGGCCAACAUGGUGAAACCCUGUCUCUACUAAAAAUACAAAAAUGAGCCGGGUGGGUGCCUGUAAUUCUAGCUACUCGGGAGGCUGUGGCAUGAGAAUCACUUGAACCCGGGAGGUGGAGGUUGUGGUGAGCUGAGAAAAAUAUUAGAGAUCUAUGUUAAUGAAAAUUAAAUUCAUUACAAUGAAUGAAAUAUAGUUUCCAGGAAACUUCAAGAAAAUCAAACAUUUUGCAAUAGGACUAUUUUUGAAAAGAAAUUUUAAAACUAUCAUUUUCACAAGAGGUUCUUCAGUGAUUUAGAAUCUCAAACCGUCAAGUCUAAGAGAUAUUAUGCUUUAAAGACAAUGCAGUAUUACUGAGUUCUUGAAAGAAAUGCUAUUACCAAUAUGAGCACAAGUUGCCUUAAUUUUUAAUUUUUUUUCUAAUUAAAGGCACCUACAUACAUUUUUAAAAAUUUUUCUUCAGAAAGAGCAAGAGGAGUCAGGGUAGAUUAAAAAAAUAUUUCAGGCUGGGCACAGUGGCUCAUGCCUGUAAUCCCAGCACUCUGGGAGGCCGAGGCGGGCGGAUCACCCGAGGUCAGGAGUUCCAGACCAGCCUGAUCAACAUGGAGAAACCCUGUCUCUACUAAAAAUACAAAAUUAGCUGGGUGUGGU